RNAcentral lists this ribosomal RNA (470 nucleotides) under uncultured bacterium. RNAcentral's name for it is "bacterial SSU rRNA". It matches the Rfam family "Bacterial small subunit ribosomal RNA", at positions 340 to 793 of the family's 1533-position model. The record is from RNAcentral.
UACGGGGAGGCAGCAGUGGGGGAAUAUUGCACAAUGGGCGCAAGCCUGAUGCAGCCAUGCCGCGUGUAUGAAGAAGGCCUUCGGGUUGUAAAGUACUUUCAGCAGUGAGGAAGGUGGGAUAUGUUAAUAGCAUAUUCAUUUGACGUUAGCUGCAGAAGAAAGCACCGGCUAACUCCGUGCCAGCAGCCGCGGUAAUACGGAGGGUGCGAGCGUUAAUCGGAAUUACUGGGCGUAAAGCGCAUGCAGGUGGUUUGUUUAAGUCAGAUGUGAAAGCCCGGGGCUCAACCUCGGAAUUGCAUUUGAAACUGGCAAACUAGAGUACUGUAGAGGGGGGUAGGAAUUUCAGGUGUAGCGGUGAAAUAGCGUAGAGAUCUGAAGGAAUACCGGUGGCGAAGGCGGCCCCCUCGGACAGAUACUGACACUCAGAUGCGAAAGCGUGGGGAGCAAACAGGAUUAGAUACCCCUGGUAG